CACAAAUUUCUGGACAAUCUAUUACUUAAAGCUUAAAUUUCUAGACCUUACAAAGAAAGAAAGAGAAAAUACCAACGUUACACAGAGAGAAUCAGUUAUUUAUUAUCUUACAUCUGAAGAUAAAUAUCUAAGGCAGUUUUGUCUAUUAUUGUGUAUAUUUUGGAUACAACAGCAGGGGCUCUUCAGCAAUGUUUAGCCCUUAAAGAGAAUCACAGGUGUGAGGCAUUUUGCUGUAACCUCGUAAGCACCACCACAGCCUCCCGUCGGUUUUCCCACCGCACAAUGAGGAAACGUGCUCAGAAAGGUUGCAGCACUUACCCAGGACUGAGAACUGUAUGCGGAUCUGCCUGACUCCAAAGCCCCAGUUCGCAAUAGUUCACCCAACUUCACGACCAUGAUCUGGAGCCACUCUUAGGGCAGGGCUUCUCCAAGUAUGGUUUAUGGACGGGUGGCAACCUAGUCCCCUCGGAAUUCAGUUAUACGGAACAUGCAGAGUCCUGGGCCCCACUGCACAGUGACAGGAACACAUUUCUGGGGGUGGAGCCUGACAGAUCUGCUCUUCAGAUGGGUGCCCUACGUGAUCUACACAUUGAAGUCUAAGAACCGCUGGUGCAGAGGAAGACUUGAUGGAUCCCAUUUACCAUUUAUAAAUCGAGCACCUAUUAUACGCAUGGUCCACGCACUCACUGAGUCUGUGAAAUGAAGUGUGCAGGUCCUGGAGCCUUUCCCAGCUCUGUUAGGACUCCCCUUCCUUGGUGUAAUUUAUCCCAGAGGCUUUUGGACCAACUUUGGAAUGGCGAACCAUGAGCCAAAGUCCAAGCUUCACUUCUACCAGGCAUCAGACUUUCCUCCAACACAGGAAUGGAGGGCUACUAACUGAUUUGAGAAAAAAGUGUCAGUUGCUUGAAAAACCUUCUGCUGAUCUUAUGACUUCAAAAAGAUAAUUUAAGCAAGGAAGCCUCUCCUGGGAAGGAGGAAUCACACCAUCCCAUGUGAGAUUUUAUUCUGGAAUACGAAUACUUGUGUUGAAAAUCAUUUUCAGGGAGUGUGAUAAGGCCCUGGGGCAUUGCCCACACAGACAGAGGGACAAAGGGCUGUUUUCAUCAGUGACUCUACCCUUCUAUCUCUCACAAGGGGCUGGUAAGAGAAGAUAGUACUCUCUUUCAACAUGCAGUGACACAGUACAAUUCUUUCAAAGGACAUUUUAGUAAUAUAUAGCUGGAGUCAAAUAGAUGUUUGUAAUCUUUCACCUCGUGGGAAUUUAUCUCUUGGAAGUAAAAGAAGAAAACAAAGCUACAUGAACAACAGCAAUAAAAAUGUUUACAGCAGCAUUGUUUGUAAUGAAAAACCUGAAGCAAGCUAAUUC
Molecule: long non-coding RNA, 1366 nt
Organism: Fukomys damarensis (Damara mole-rat)
Lineage: Eukaryota; Metazoa; Chordata; Mammalia; Rodentia; Bathyergidae
Exons: 3
Source: RefSeq, a predicted model, not a curated record